This 391-nucleotide unclassified non-coding RNA is filed under the name uncultured fungus. Its description in RNAcentral is "partial internal transcribed spacer 1". The record is from RNAcentral. Lineage: Eukaryota; Fungi.
GAUUGUAAAUAUCGGCAAAGGCGAUUACACCACGUUUGUGAAGCCGAACAUUCCGGCAACGGGCGAGUUCAAAGGCGUGGGCUUCCUGGAGGCGCCGCGCGGUAUGCUGUCUCACUGGAUGGUGAUUAAAGACGGCAUUAUCAGUAACUAUCAGGCGGUGGUGCCAUCGACCUGGAACUCAGGUCCGCGUAACUUCAACGAUGACGUGGGGCCGUACGAACAGUCGCUGGUCGGUACGCCGAUCGCCGAUCCGGCGAAGCCGCUGGAAGUGGUACGUACCAUCCACUCCUUCGACCCUUGCAUGGCGUGCGCGGUACACGUGGUGGUGGACGCCGAUGGCAAUGAAGUGGUCUCGGUGAAGGUUUUGUAAUGCGGAAAUUAGUCUUAGGGG